AAAUUUCCUGGUUACUUCCAGAGACUUUGUCUAAAGCAGAAUGGAGUGAAAUGGUUUUGGCCAUUAUCAUCCUCGUCAGCGGCAAAGAUAAGAGGUGGGGAUGGGCUGCUACAACUAGAGACGAUUGUUUACUACAGAUUUUGAAGUGAACGGCCACCACUGUUAAGUAUAUAAAUUCCAGAGCAGAGACUCCUUGUAUGCCAAAGCAGAGCCACUAGAGCCACAUCUAUGGAAAUGGGAAACCCUCAGAACCAGCCCAGGAGCCACAGAGGCAGCAGGGGUAAGAAAAAGGGCAUCAAGGUAACAUACAUUUCGAGCCCAAUGAAGGUGAAAGCUAGCAGCGCUUCCGAGUUUCGAGCAAUCGUUCAGGAGCUCACUGGGUGUAACUCCAACCCUGAAAGCAUGGAUGCAUGGAGUGUUGUUAAUAUUGUUGAUGAUGCAGCUCAUUCAACUUCAGCCAUCAAUCCCAUCAGCCCCACCCCCAUCUUGGAUCAAGGUUUCAUUUGGAGAGAAGCUUCGGAUGGCUUCCCCGGAUUUCAAUUUCCUUGUGUUUUUGCAUGAUCUGAUUCUGAUCUUUUAUUUGCAUUUCUGAUGUUGCUUUGCUUCAACUUAUCUGCUUUAGCUCCUACUGUUUGCUUUUCUCCCCAAUCUUGUAAUCAAGGGAUUUGAUACGGCAAGCGUUGUUGUUGUUUUUUAUUUAUUUAUUUAGACAUCAAUGAUUUAUACCA
Long non-coding RNA from Vitis riparia (riverbank grape), 728 nucleotides. RefSeq lists it as uncharacterized. Lineage: Eukaryota; Viridiplantae; Streptophyta; Magnoliopsida; Vitales; Vitaceae. The record is from RefSeq and is a predicted model, not a curated record. The transcript is spliced from 2 exons.